GAAUAUUGGACGAUGGGAGGAACCCUGAUCCAGCCAUGCCGCGUGUGUGAAGAAGGCCUUUUGGUUGUAAAGCACUUUAAGCGAGGAGGAGGCUACUCGAGUUAAUACCUAGGGAUAGUGGGCGUUACUCGCAGAAUAAGCACCGGCUAACUCUGUGCCCGCAGCCGCGGUAAUACAGAGGGUGCAAGCGUUUAUCGGAUUUACUGGGCGUAUAGCGCGCGUAGGUGGCCAAUUAAGUCAAAUGUGAAAUCCCCGAGCUUAACUUGGGAAAUGCAUUCGAUACUGGUUGGCUAGAGUAUGGCAGAGGAUGGUAGAAUUCCAGGUGUAGCGGUGAAAUGCGUAGAGAUCUGGAGGAAUACCGAUGGCGAAGGCAGCCAUCUGGCCUAAUACUGACACUGAGGUGCGAAAGCAUGGGGAGCAAACA
Molecule: ribosomal RNA, 424 nt
Filed under: uncultured bacterium
Lineage: Bacteria
Description: bacterial SSU rRNA
Rfam family: Bacterial small subunit ribosomal RNA
Source: RNAcentral